This 58-nucleotide transfer RNA is filed under the name Psyllidae sp. EMHAU-2015-Zz060501. RNAcentral's name for it is "tRNA-Gly". Lineage: Eukaryota; Metazoa; Arthropoda; Insecta; Hemiptera; Psyllidae. The record is from RNAcentral.
AUUCUAUUAGUAUAAAAAUUACAAUUAGUUUCCACCUAAAAGAUCUUAUGAUAGAAUA